AGUGAAAUUGCUGGAUCAUAUAUGGUAAUUCUGUGUUUAAUUUUUGAGGAAUCACAAUAUUCUUUUCCAUAGUGGCCAUGCCAUUUUAUAUUUCUUCCAGCAAU
This 104-nucleotide microRNA precursor is filed under the name Marmota monax (woodchuck). The record is from RNAcentral. Lineage: Eukaryota; Metazoa; Chordata; Mammalia; Rodentia; Sciuridae.